This is a non-coding RNA of Podarcis lilfordi (Lilford's wall lizard), 83 nucleotides long. The record is from the annotation of a GenBank genome assembly. NCBI's taxonomy places the organism in Eukaryota, Metazoa, Chordata, Lepidosauria, Squamata, Lacertidae.
UGGGAUAGCUCAGUUCGUAGAGCUGGUAGAGCAUGAGGCUCUUAAUCUCAGGGUUGUGGGUUCAAGCCCCACAUUGGGGAAAA